RNAcentral lists this ribosomal RNA (334 nucleotides) under uncultured bacterium. Its description in RNAcentral is "bacterial SSU rRNA". It matches the Rfam family "Bacterial small subunit ribosomal RNA", at positions 28 to 361 of the family's 1533-position model. The record is from RNAcentral.
GAUGAACGCUAGCGGCAGGCCUAACACAUGCAAGUCGAGGGGCAGCACGUCUUCGGAUGGUGGCGACCGGCGCACGGGUGCGUAACGCGUAUGCAACCUACCUCUUACAGUGGGAUAGCCCAGAGAAAUUUGGAUUAAUACCGCAUAGUAUACAGAUUCAGCAUUGGGACUGUAUUAAACAUUUAUGGGUAAGAGAUGGGCAUGCGUUCUAUUAGUUAGUUGGAGUGGUAACGGCACCCAGACAGCGAUAGAUAGGGCCCGUCAGAGGGGAGUCCCCACCACUGGUACGUAGAGACACGGACCGAGACUCCUACGGGAGGGCAGCAGUGAGGAA